AGUCAUUGACAGCCAUUCAAAAUGCAAUGGACAGUAUGUAUACAAUGACUUGGAGGGGGGCAUUUCCCGUAUACUGUGUCAAAAUGAUGCUUUCAGGCGACAACACAGUACGGUCAGUUUGGAUGUCAACAUUGAUGGACUACCAAUCUUUAAAAGUAGCAAAAUCCAGUUCUGGCCAAUACUGGUGAAAUUUAACAAUUUCAAUCCAUUUAUUGUGGCAUUAUACUGUGGGGAAAGCAAGCCUGAGCCCCUUGAUGAGUAUCUCCAUGACUUUUUGGAGGAGUUCAAUAAUCUCCAACAGAAUGGCCUGGUGAUUCGUGACAAAAAGUAUGCAGUAAAUAUUCAUACCUUUGUUUGUGAUGCACCAGCAAGAGCAUAUUUAAAAUGCAUUAAAGGUCAUACUGCAUAUGACAGUUGUGAGAGGUGCCAAGUGAAAGGCCAGUAUGUUGAAAGAAGAGUCGUCUUCAAUCAGCUGACAUCCACCUUGCGCGCAGAUGAAGCAUUUAGUCAGAUAGAGUAUUCCCGCCAUCAAAAUGGGUCUAGCCCUUUAAUAGGGACCCAUAGUACUCAAAAAUACUGUCUCCUCACAGCUGUAUGCUCAUUUUGUGACAUUGACCGUGGCAGUAUCCAUCAUGCUGGACUCAGAUGACGGGACAAGAGCUGCCUAUUUGGAUUUUUCUUCUGAACUGAUGAGGCACUUUGUGUCUAGCUGCCCUGCACUCUAUGGAAAAACAUUUGCUGUGUACAAUGUGCAUGCCCUGUUACACAUCCAUGAAGAUGUCUCUCGUUUCAGAUGCUCUUUAAAUGACAUAUGUUGCUUUCCAUAUGAGAAUUAUUUGCAGCAGAUCAAAAGAUUGGUCAGGACUGGCCAAAAUCCAUUAGCGCAGGUGUCCAAACGACUGGUCGAAAUCGAACAUGCCCAGGGGAAUUCCAGUGCACAGUGUAAGGCGAAGCCCAAAAUGUACAUUUCAACAAAAAGGAGAGACGGCUGCUUCCUUUUGAAAGAUGAGAGGUUUGCUUUUGUUCAAGAGAGGAGGGGAGAUGUUACGGUUGUUUGCGAUGUGAUAAAACAGAGACACACUGUCGACCUGUUUGACAAACCAUGUCUGUCAAAGCUCUUGAACAUUGCUUACAUAGGGAAUAGCCGUAGAUUCAAAAGAAAAGAACUCAAGGAAGAAGACCACAGUCGAAAAGUAGCCUGUCUACCUUACAACAAUGGCUCUGUCAUGAUUCCUCUGCGGCAUGGCAUUGAACAUUCAUGUUGAAGAUUGGCAAGUCAAAAAGUUAUGCUUUUUGUCAGAGCCGUUUGGAAUGAAAAUGGGAAGGAAAUGGAGGGGACCAUCCCUGAUGCCUGAGUUAAUGUAGCUGAGAAAACCCUUCGGUGGCCAAAGACAAGGGCAAAAUAUUGUUUUGAAAACCAUGUGGCCCCUAAGGACGACUGGGAUACGUUCCCAUUGUUGAAAGUGAAAUUUACCGCAGAAAGUCUCCAUGAGUGUGAGGAAUAUGAUCAAACCAGCCAUGCUGAACAAAGAUGAAGACGAAGAGGUUAUAGUGCGAAAGAGGAUGAAAAAAACUAAAACUUCUGAAGAUUAUGUUGAAGGAUCUGACCUGUCUGAGGCGACUGCUGAGGGGGAGGAUAAAGAAGAGAGGAAAGGAGAUGCCAGUCCCGAAAUUCCAGUCUUUCCCACCCCACCAAUCAAAAUGUCAAAGAAUGGUUCACCCAGGUCUGUGGGCCAGGAAAAGUCAACUAGUCAGUUCCAGAAAAUCGUACUUACAAAGCUGGUGACUCUCACUGAUGAAGUCAGAAAACUGCAGAGGAGCGGACCUCAAUCUGGAAUUGAAAUAAAGAAGAUGGACACCUUGGAAGAGUUCCAGAGGGAGGAGGCUUCUCUUCUGAAACCACACAAAUUUGAAACCUUGGUUUGUCAGCUGGCAAGAGUGGGGGGAGAGAUGUUAAGGACUGCACGCACAAAGUGAUGGACAGGCUCUUCACCAAUCAACUAAUGACCCGAUUCAACAUGAAGGGGAAGAGCAAAAAAGACAAAAUACGAUUUGAAGACAAGACAUUGUUUUCAGCAAUAAAAGCUGCUGUCAUGAAAUGGGACGCCGCUGCAACAGAGACCCAAAUAAAGUCUGCUGCAGCCGAUCACCUGAAACAUGCCCCUGGGAGACUCGGGGGUGGUGGCUAUUAAUCUUGACUUUAGGAGCCACAUUUUGUUAAUUGUUAUGUUAUACUGUUUUAACGACAUUUUAUAGAUUCUUUAACUGUGUUAAUUUAUAAGUUUACUGUUCUGGCUGUGAAGUUUUGGUCCAGCAGAACAAAAUGGUAAUAAAAAUGUAGUUUGAGAAUUUUAA
This is a long non-coding RNA of Ctenopharyngodon idella (grass carp), 2355 nucleotides long. RefSeq lists it as uncharacterized. NCBI's taxonomy places the organism in Eukaryota, Metazoa, Chordata, Actinopteri, Cypriniformes, Xenocyprididae. The record is from RefSeq and is a predicted model, not a curated record. The transcript has 10 exons.